This 396-nucleotide ribosomal RNA is filed under the name uncultured Thiobacillus sp. RNAcentral's name for it is "bacterial SSU rRNA". It matches the Rfam family "Bacterial small subunit ribosomal RNA", at positions 981 to 1382 of the family's 1533-position model. The record is from RNAcentral. Lineage: Bacteria; Pseudomonadati; Pseudomonadota; Betaproteobacteria; Nitrosomonadales; Thiobacillaceae.
UUGACAUGUCUGGUAAUCUUGGUGAGAGCCGAGGUGCCUUCGGGAGCCGAGAACACAGGUGCUGCAUGGCUGUCGUUCAGCUCGUGUCGCGAGAUGUUGGGUUAAGUCCCGCAACGAGCGCAACCCUUAUCAUUAGUUGCUACGCAAGGGCACUCGUAAUGAGACUGCCGGUGACAAACCGGAGAAGUGGGGAUGACGUCAAGUCCUCAUGGCCCUUAUGGGUAGGGCUUCACACGUCAUACAAUGGUCGGUACAGAGGGUUGCCAAGCCGCGAGGCGGAGCCAAUCCCACAAAGCCGAUCGUAGUCCGGAUUGUUCUCUGCAACUCGAGAGCAUGAAGUCGGAAUCGCUAGUAAUCGCAGGUCAGCAUACUGCGGUGAAUACGUUCCCGGGUCUU